UACGAAGGUCUCAAGCGUUGUUCGGAUUUACUGGGCGUAAAGCGUCUGUAGGCGGGGUGGUAAGUCAGAUGUGAAAUCCCGGGGCUCAACCUCGGAACUGCAUCCGAUACUGCCAUCCUAGAGGGUCGGAGGGGAGUCUGGAAUUCUCGGUGUAGCAGUGAAAUGCGUAGAUAUCGAGAGGAACACUAGUGGCGAAGGCGAGACUCUGGACGACACCUGACGCUGAGAGACGAAGGCCAGGGGAGCGAAAAGG
Molecule: unclassified non-coding RNA, 253 nt
Filed under: uncultured Verrucomicrobiota bacterium
Lineage: Bacteria; Pseudomonadati; Verrucomicrobiota
Description: uncultured Verrucomicrobia bacterium contains 16S-23S intergenic spacer region
Rfam family: Bacterial small subunit ribosomal RNA
Source: RNAcentral